Molecule: ribosomal RNA, 256 nt
Filed under: uncultured archaeon
Lineage: Archaea
Description: partial 16S ribosomal RNA
Rfam family: Bacterial small subunit ribosomal RNA
Source: RNAcentral
UAAUACGGAGGGUGCAAGCGUUAUCCGGAUUUACUGGGUUUAAAGGGUGCGUAGGCGGGCAUGUAAGUCAGUGGUGAAAUACCGGAGCUUAACUUCGGAACUGCCAUUGAUACUAUAUGUCUUGAAUAUUGUGGAGGUAAGCGGAAUAUGUCAUGUAGCGGUGAAAUGCAUAGAUAUGACAUAGAACACCGAUUGCGGAGGCAGCUUGCUACACAAAUAUUGACGCUGAGGCACGAAAGCGUGGGGAUCAAACAGG